GAUGAAGAACGUAGUGAAAUGCGAUAAGUAAUGUGAAUUGCAGAAUUCAGUGAAUCAUCGAAUCUUUGAACGCACAUUGCGCCCGCCAGUAUUCUGGCGGGCAUGCCUGUUCGAGCGUCAUUACAACCCUCAGGCCCCCGGGCCUGGCGUUGGGGAUCGGCGGAAGCCCACUGCGGGCACAACGCCGUCCCCCAAAUACAGUGGCGGUCCCGCCGCAGCUUCCAUUGCGUAGUAGCUAACACCUCGCAACUGGAGAGCGGCGCGGCCACGCCGUAAAACACCCAACUUCUGAAUGUUGACCUCGAAUCAGGUAGGAAUACCCGCUGAACUUAAGCAUAUCAAUAAGCGGAGGA
This 353-nucleotide unclassified non-coding RNA is filed under the name soil metagenome. RNAcentral's name for it is "partial contains 5.8S ribosomal RNA, internal transcribed spacer 2, and large subunit ribosomal RNA". The stretch from base 1 to 120 matches the Rfam family "5.8S ribosomal RNA", at positions 35 to 154 of the family's 154-position model. The record is from RNAcentral.